GUGGGGAAUAUUGGACAAUGGACGAAAGCCUGAUCCAGCCAUGCCGCGUGUGUGAAGAAGGUCUUCGGAUUGUAAAGCACUUUAAGUUGGGAGGAAGGGCAGUAAGUUAAUACCUUGCUGUUUUGACGUUACCGACAGAAUAAGCACCGGCUAACUUCGUGCCAGCAGCCGCGGUAAUACGAAGGGUGCAAGCGUUAAUCGGAAUUACUGGGCGUAAAGCGCGCGUAGGUGGUUUUGUAAGUUGGAGGUGAAAUCCCCGGGCUCAACCUGGGAACUGCCUCCAAAACUGCAUGACUAGAGUACGGUAGAGGGUAGUGGAAUUUCCUGUGUAGCGGUGAAAUGCGUAGAUAUAGGAAGGAACACCAGUGGCGAAGGCGACUACCUGGACUGAUACUGACACUGAGGUGCGAAAGCGUGGGGAGCAAACAGGAUUAGAUACCCCGGUAGUCC
RNAcentral lists this ribosomal RNA (450 nucleotides) under uncultured bacterium. RNAcentral describes it as "bacterial SSU rRNA". It matches the Rfam family "Bacterial small subunit ribosomal RNA", at positions 354 to 796 of the family's 1533-position model. The record is from RNAcentral.